AUGGGCGGAAGCCUGAUCCAGCCAUGCCGCGUGAAGGACUAAGGCCCUAUGGGUCGUAAACUUCUUUUGACACAGAGCAAUAAGGGACACGUGUGUUCCGAUGAGAGUAUGCGUCGAAUAAGCAUCGGCUAACUCCGUGCCAGCAGCCGCGGUAAUACGGAGGAUGCGAGCGUUAUCCGGAUUUAUUGGGUUUAAAGGGUGCGUAGGCUGUUGGAUAAGUCAGCGGUGAAAUCACCACGCUUAACGUGUUGUGUGCCGUUGAAACUGUCCAGCUUGAAUGCGCUCGUCGUGAGAGGAAUGUGUGGUGUAGCGGUGAAAUGCAUAGAUAUCACACAGAACACCGAUUGCGAAGGCAUCUCACGAGGGCGCUAUUGACGCUGAUGCACGAAAGCGCGGGUAUCGAACAGGAUUAGAUACCCUGGUAGUCCGCGCUGUAAACGAUGAUGACUAACCGUGGGUCUGAAUGGAUCAGUGGUCAAGCGAAAGCGUUAAGUCAUCCACCUGGGGAGUACGGCCGCAAGGCUGAAACUCAAAGGAAUUGACGGGGGCCCGCACAAGCGAGGACAUGUGGUUUAAUUCGAUGAUACGCGAGAACCUACCGGCUCGACGCGAGAU
This 615-nucleotide ribosomal RNA is filed under the name Bacteroidetes bacterium oral taxon 281. Its description in RNAcentral is "bacterial SSU rRNA". It matches the Rfam family "Bacterial small subunit ribosomal RNA", at positions 371 to 992 of the family's 1533-position model. The record is from RNAcentral. Lineage: Bacteria; Pseudomonadati; Bacteroidota.